ACUGUAAGUCAAGUUUCAAGUCAUUGGUGUGAAUUAAAAGAAAAAAUCAAAACCGCACUAGUGGUAGCAAUUUAAUAACGUUCUCCAUCAAAAGAUCUAAAGCUUAUAGUUCUAUAGAAGGGACUAGAGAGGAUGAAUUAAAGUAACAUCUGUUACUAAACCGGGGGCAUGAGCUGAAAUCAGAAAAGGUUGUUAAAAGCCAAAUUUAGAGAUCAAUUCCACUG
Molecule: long non-coding RNA, 224 nt
Filed under: Capsicum annuum
Lineage: Eukaryota; Viridiplantae; Streptophyta; Magnoliopsida; Solanales; Solanaceae
Description: long non-coding RNA (CANN_LNC011562)
Source: RNAcentral